Molecule: ribosomal RNA, 890 nt
Filed under: uncultured bacterium
Lineage: Bacteria
Description: bacterial SSU rRNA
Rfam family: Bacterial small subunit ribosomal RNA
Source: RNAcentral
AGAGUUUGAUCCUGGCUCAGAUUGAACGCUGGCGGCAUGCCUUACACGUGCAAGUCGAACGGUAACAGGUCUUCGGAUGCUGACGAGUGGCGAACGGGUGAGUAAUACAUCGGAACGUGCCCGAUCGUGGGGGAUAACGAGGCGAAAGCUUUGCUAAUACCGCAUACGAUCUACGGAUGAAAGCGGGGGAUCUUCGGACCUCGCGCGGACGGAGCGGCCGAUGGCAGAUUAGGUAGUUGGUGGGAUAAAAGCUUACCAAGCCGACGAUCUGUAGCUGGUCUGAGAGGAUGAUCAGCCACACUGGGACUGAGACACGGCCCAGACUCCUACGGGAGGCAGCAGUGGGGAAUUUUGGACAAUGGGCGCAAGCCUGAUCCAGCCAUGCCGCGUGAGUGAAGAAGGCCUUCGGGUUGUAAAGCUCUUUCGGCCGGGAAGAAAUCGUGUUCUCUAACAUAGGGCAUGGAUGACGGUACCGGACUAAGAAGCACCGGCUAACUACGUGCCAGCAGCCGCGGUAAUACGUAGGGUGCGAGCGUUAAUCGGAAUUACUGGGCGUAAAGCGUGCGCAGGCGGUUUUGUAAGACAGAUGUGAAAUCCCCGGGCUUAACCUGGGAACUGCGUUUGUGACUGCAAGGCUAGAGUACGGCAGAGGGGGGUGGAAUUCCUGGUGUAGCAGUGAAAUGCGUAGAUAUCAGGAGGAACACCGAUGGCGAAGGCAGCCCCCUGGGCCUGUACUGACGCUCAUGCACGAAAGCGUGGGGAGCAAACGUGAUUAGAUACCCGGUAGUCCACGCCCUAAACGAUGUCGACUAGUCGUUCGGAGCAGCAAUGCACUGAGUGACGCAGCUAACGCGUGAAGUCGACCGCCUGGGGAGUACGGCCGCAAGGUU